AAGCCAGCCAGUGAGUCUGCUUACCUAACUGAGUUUAUGUAGAGAUUUAAACAGUCAUUAAUAGAGCCGUAAGGAUAAGCAAAGUCAUUAAGGUCCCUGAGAAGGUCUACAAAA
RNAcentral lists this small nucleolar RNA (114 nucleotides) under Dipodomys ordii (Ord's kangaroo rat). Its description in RNAcentral is "Small nucleolar RNA SNORA33 (ENSDORG00000022477.2)". The record is from RNAcentral. Lineage: Eukaryota; Metazoa; Chordata; Mammalia; Rodentia; Heteromyidae.